GACGAACGCUGGCGGCGUGCUUAACACAUGCAAGUCGAACGGAAAGGCCCUGCUUUUGUGGGGUGCUCGAGUGGCGAACGGGUGAGUAACACGUGAGUAACCUGCCCUUGACUUUGGGAUAACUUCAGGAAACUGGGGCUAAUACCGGAUAGGAGCUCCUGCUGCAUGGUGGGGGUUGGAAAGUUUCGGCGGUUGGGGAUGGACUCGCGGCUUAUCAGCUUGUUGGUGGGGUAGUGGCUUACCAAGGCUUUGACGGGUAGCCGGCCUGAGAGGGUGACCGGCCACAUUGGGACUGAGAUACGGCCCAGACUCCUACGGGAGGCAGCAGUGGGGAAUAUUGAACAAUGGGCGGAAGCCUGAUGCAGCAACGCCGCGUGCGGGAUGACGGCCUUCGGGUUGUAGACCGCUUUCGCCUGUGACGAAGCGUGAGUGACGGUAAUGGGUAAAGAAGCACCGGCUAACUACGUG
This 468-nucleotide ribosomal RNA is filed under the name uncultured bacterium. Its description in RNAcentral is "partial 16S ribosomal RNA". It matches the Rfam family "Bacterial small subunit ribosomal RNA", at positions 28 to 507 of the family's 1533-position model. The record is from RNAcentral.